Molecule: unclassified non-coding RNA, 336 nt
Filed under: soil metagenome
Description: partial contains 5.8S ribosomal RNA, internal transcribed spacer 2, and large subunit ribosomal RNA
Rfam family: 5.8S ribosomal RNA (bases 1-120)
Source: RNAcentral
GAUGAAGAACGCAGCGAAAUGCGAUAAGUAAUGUGAAUUGCAGAAUUCAGUGAAUCAUCGAGUCUUUGAACGCACAUUGCGCCCGCCAGUAUUCUGGCGGGCAUGCCUGUUCGAGCGUCAUUUCAACCAUCAAGCCCCCGGCUUGUGUUGGGGACCUGCGGCUGCCGCAGGCCCUGAAAAGCAGUGGCGGGCUCGCUGUCACACCGAGCGUAGUAGCAUACAUCUCGCUCUGGGCGUGCUGCGGGUUCCGGCCGUUAAACCACCUUCAUAACCCAAGGUUGACCUCGGAUCAGGUAGGAAGACCCGCUGAACUUAAGCAUAUCAAUAAGCGGAGGA